GUGUGUGUGUGGGGCAAUGUGUACAUGUGUGACACUGUGUGUACAUGUGGGGCAAUGUGUGUGGGGGGGGCAGUGUGUUUAUGUGUAGGGCAGUGUGUACAUGUGUGACACUGUGUGUACAUGUGGGGCAGUGUGUGUGUGUGUGGGGCACUGUGUACGUGUGGGGCAAUGUGUGUACAUGUGGGGCAAUGUGUGUGUGUGUGUGUGGGGCAAUGUGUGGGGCAGUGUGUGUGUGUGUGGGGCAGUGUGAGUGUGUGGGGCACUGUGUGUGUGUGUGGGGCACUGUGUGUACAUGUGGGGCACUGUGUGUACAUGUGGGGCAGUGUGUGUGUGUGUGGGGCAGUGUGUGUACAUGUGUGACACUGUGUGUACAUGUGGGGCAGUGUGUGUGUGUGGGGCAGUGUGUGUGUGUGGGGCAGUGUGUGUGUGUGGGGCAGUGUGUGUACAUGUGUGACACUGUGUGUACAUGUGGGGCACGGUGUGUGGGGCAGUGUGUGUGUACAUGUCGGGCAAUGUGUGUACAUGUGUGACACUGUGUGUACAUGUGGGGCAAUGUGUGUGUGUGUGGGGCACUGUGUACAUGUGGGGCACUGUGUGUACAUGUGUGACACUGUGUGUACAUGUGUGUCACCGUGUGUACAUGUGUGUGACACUGUGUACAGGUGUGUCACCGUGUGUACACGUGUGUCCCGGUCCCCCAGCAGGACCCACACCGCAGUGAAGAGCACUCCUGUCCAUCUCCCCACAGCUGCUGCAGGAUGCAGUUGCAGCCCGGGAUGCAGCGGGGGUUCAUUCCUGCUCUGCCCCAAUGCAUUGGCAAAUGCAACAGCCGGGAACUGCGGCUCGGGCCCUUGUGGAGAGAGGAACACACAGAGGGAGGGAGGGUGGGACAGUCACCCCUGCAGACACAGCUUCACCAAACUCAUCAACAACACCAAUUAACGCUCCUCUCCUGCUUUCUGGGUUUUCCCUUUCUGCUCCCCCAUGCACUGAAAUGAGCACAGGGCUGUUCUGUUUGAAAUAAAAGCAGAUUAUUUGUUCUGGGAACGCUCGGGAUCCGCUCCACGCUCUUCUCUGGCCUGAUGCCACAGAAAUGGGAUUUGAAGGAGGGAGAGGGGGGGACCUGGAAGGUUCCCCUGGGGGAAGGGAAAGGCAGGAGCUGCUGGAAUCCCUGGAUCUCCAGGGGGAUGAGAAGCAGCCCCUCCUGUCCCACACAGAAUUCCCAGCAGGACAAUUCCCACUGCCCAGGGAUGAAACCUCCCUGGGCUGGGGGGUCCCAAACUGCGACAGCCGCAUCCAGGGGGUGUCAGCUGGAAAUUAAGGCCAUUUUCAAGGUCUACUUACAAGUCCAAGAAACAAAGAGCUCUUAUUUCCACACGGAGUUCAAAAUGCGGGCAGGAGGCUCCCGUGAGCAGUGCCAGCCCCGGAGGGAUGGACAGGCACUGCCACAUGCACGGGAGCCGUUCCAGAGGGACACAAACACGGAAUUCCCACACGAGAAGAGUUUCAGGCUCACCCUGGACCUUCAGCAAAGGGCUCUGAGUCACCUGGGCCCAAAUUCCUCCUGGUUUUUUUUGCCAGGUUUCCUCCAGUUUGAGCUGCCUUUUAUCUCCUCCUUAAACUGAAGAAGUGUGAGGGGUCUGAAACAAGCAGCCACCAGGAAUGAACGUGUCCUACCCUGCCAAAAAAAAAUAAAUCCCAAAACAUUCCCAAGAGAUGCGGGGAAACCUCUGAAGGGCGUGGAGAGGGAUCAAAUUAAAAUAAAAAAAAAAUGAAAUAAAAUUAAAAAGACACAGGGAAACACCAAGAAAAAAAAGAAAUUCCACAUUUUUAGUGCAAAUGGUCAACAAAUGGCACGGAAAGGUGAGGGGACACCCCGGGAUCGGGGAGAUCCCGACCCUGCAGGAACCUCAGCACGGCAGGCCGGGAUUUCUGGAAGCACACAGAAACUUGGUAUAACUCAUUAGGAGAGCAGUGAGAUGGUGUUAAUUGCAGGGGGGGGCUCAUUAAUAGUGGGGAACUCCCAGCACAGGAGAAGUUUUGGGAUUGGGAGUGCUGGGUUUCCACAUCCAGCCGGUGCAGGAGGCUGGGAAGGGCUGAAUUCCCGCUGGGAAUUGGGAGCCGAGGGGAUUUUAGGGAAUGGGAUCCAUGUGGCUGCUCGCCCUCGGGGGCUGCACUGUUAAUUAGUUAAUGAGAUUCCAAAUGCUGCUCAUUCCUGAUUAAUUCCUGCCUUUCCUGUGCUGGGAGAUGCUGUCCCCGUGCAGAUCCCAGGGGAAUGAGGAUGCUCCAGCAGUGCCCUUUAAAUCCAUCCAUUCCCAGAAAUCUGGGAAUCGCCAUCGAUCCCGCGGGAGUGAAACCCCCAAUUCCCAGCCUGGGCAAUCUGGAUGGGAAUUUUUUUAAUUUGCAGCACAGAACAUGCACAGGGACCACCAGAAAUAAUCAAUUCUCCAUUUAAUUAAACAGAAUUUUGGAGGAUUUGAUCCUGGUCAUUCUGGAGCAAGAGAUUUUUUUUUUUUUUCCCCCGGGUGAAUGAAGGAAUUUUUAAGUUCCAACCACCCUAUUUUGCCUAUUCCAAAGGAAAAUAUCUAAACUUGCCUUAGGCUUCCUUAUUCCUGCUUAACAUCUGUUUAAAAUUCCAGUUAGUUUAAAAAUACCUACAUAUAUAAUAUAUAUAAUAUAUUUCUGGAGUAAAACCACAAAAAAAAAUGUACUGUACAAAUAUUAUGUAGAGUGCUUCCAUUGGCUGUAUGUAGUUGAGCUACUUUCCUAAUAUCCAAAUAUUUAAAUAAAAAAAAAAAAAAAAGAAAUGACAACAACAAUGACCAAAAAUAAAAUCAUAAAUAAGUAACAGAAUAAGUAAUGAAUAAGAAUAAAAAAAUUAAAAAAUCAUGAUUCUACUAGCCUGGCAUUGCUAUGGAAAUGCCCUUCCUGUUGCCCAGGAAUCUCUCACAAAGUAAAAAUUAGGAUUAUGCAGGUUAGUCUCUAUUUUUUUUUUAGCUGCUUUAAGAUGUUCUGAUCCUCUGUCUAAUCAAGUAAUGAAUUAUAGAACUUUCAUGUGUGCUCAGAAAUGCUCUCUAUAUAUGUAGCCAUAUAUAGAAAUAGAUAUAUAUUACAUAUAUAUUUAAAAAAACAAACAAAACAAAACAACAAAAAAAAUAAUAAAAA
This is a long non-coding RNA of Poecile atricapillus (Black-capped chickadee), 3165 nucleotides long. RefSeq lists it as uncharacterized. The record is from RefSeq and is a predicted model, not a curated record. The transcript has 2 exons. NCBI's taxonomy places the organism in Eukaryota, Metazoa, Chordata, Aves, Passeriformes, Paridae.